CGUUUAGGGGUAAACYUGAGAAACCCGAAAGGUCGAAGGGAGAAAUUCAUUCGCGUUUCGUCGUUGGCGUUUCGACGAGAUCGCGUGACGGAGGACGGCUCGUUUCGGCGCGUCGUCUUUCGCACCUUUCGUUAUUCGAUCCGACGACGAACGCGUGCACUUUUCUCCUGGUAGGACGUCGCGAUCCGUUGAGUGUCGGUCUAAGGCUUAUGCGGUGGAGACCUUGGACGUGCGCGGUUCAUCCCGCGUCCGUUCACGGACCCGUAAAGUUUUCCGGCCGACUCGCUCGACGGUACACGAACGGUUUAGGGCCGCUCUCUUAUCGAGCGUUCGACUCGCGGCAAGCGCGCCAGAUGAUUGUCGGUCGUCGGACCUAGUGCCGGCUCUGACCUCUGGUGACUGUUGGCUGCGAAGUUCUCGAACAGACCUUAAUUUUUAUGACCGAUCUGCGACGCUAUAGCUUUGGGUACUUUCAGGACCCGUCUUGAAACACGGACCAAGGAGUCUAGCAUGUGCGCGAGUCAUUGGGAAUUCAUUAAACCUAAAGGCGCAAUGAAAGUGAAAGUUCGUCUUGCACGAACCUAGGGAAGAUGAGCGGUUUACCGUUAAAAGUAGCCGUUCCGCAUUCCCGGGGCGUCUCGUUCUCAUUGCGAGAAGAGGCGCACCAAGAGCGUACACGCUGGGACCCGAAAGAUGGUGAACUAUGCCUGGUCAGGACGAAGUCAGGGGAAACCCUGAUGGAGGUCCGUAGCGAUUCUGACGUGCAAAUCGAUCGUCGGAACUGGGUAUAGGGGCGAAAGACUAAUCGAACCAUC
RNAcentral lists this ribosomal RNA (815 nucleotides) under Dryophthorinae gen. sp. 1 SM-2016. RNAcentral describes it as "eukaryotic LSU rRNA". It matches the Rfam family "Eukaryotic large subunit ribosomal RNA", at positions 406 to 944 of the family's 3401-position model. Lineage: Eukaryota; Metazoa; Arthropoda; Insecta; Coleoptera; Curculionidae. The record is from RNAcentral.